GUGGGGAAUAUUGGACAAUGGGCGAAAGCCUGAUCCAGCCAUGCCGCGUGUGUGAAGAAGGUCUUCGGAUUGUAAAGCACUUUAAGUUGGGAGGAAGGGCAGUAAGUUAAUACCUUGCUGUUUUGACGUUACCGACAGAAUAAGCACCGGCUAACUUCGUGCCAGCAGCCGCGGUAAUACGAAGGGUGCAAGCGUUAAUCGGAAUUACUGGGCGUAAAGCGCGCGUAGGUGGUUCAGCAUGUUGAAGGUGAAAUCACCGGGCUCAACCUGGGAACUGCCUCCAAAACUACUGAGCUAGAGUACGGUAGAGGGUAGUGGAAUUUCCUGUGUAGCGGUGAAAUGCGUAGAUAUAGGAAGGAACACCAGUGGCGAAGGCGACUACCUGGGCUGAUACUGACACUGAGGUGCGAAAGCGUGGGGAGCAAACAGGAUUAGAAACCCGAGUAGUCC
This 450-nucleotide ribosomal RNA is filed under the name uncultured bacterium. RNAcentral describes it as "partial 16S ribosomal RNA". It matches the Rfam family "Bacterial small subunit ribosomal RNA", at positions 354 to 796 of the family's 1533-position model. The record is from RNAcentral.